RNAcentral lists this ribosomal RNA (565 nucleotides) under uncultured bacterium. Its description in RNAcentral is "bacterial SSU rRNA". It matches the Rfam family "Bacterial small subunit ribosomal RNA", at positions 1 to 574 of the family's 1533-position model. The record is from RNAcentral.
UAGAGUUUGAUCCUGGCUCAGAUUGAACGCUGGCGGCAUGCCUUACACAUGCAAGUCGAACGGUAACAGGUCUUCGGAUGCUGACGAGUGGCGAACGGGUGAGUAAUACAUCGGAACGUGCCCGAUCGUGGGGGAUAACGGAGCGAAAGCUUUGCUAAUACCGCAUACGAUCUACGGAUGAAAGCAGGGGACCGCAAGGCCUUGCGCGGACGGAGCGGCCGAUGGCAGAUUAGGUAGUUGGUGGGAUAAAAGCUUACCAAGCCGGCGAUCUGUAGCUGGUCUGAGAGGACGACCAGCCACACUGGGACUGAGACACGGCCCAGACUCCUACGGGAGGCAGCAGUGGGGAAUUUUGGACAAUGGGCGAAAGCCUGAUCCAGCCAUGCCGCGUGCAGGAUGAAGGCCUUCGGGUUGUAAACUGCUUUUGUACGGAACGAAAAGACUCCUUCUAAUAAAGGGGGUCCAUGACGGUACCGUAAGAAUAACACCGGCUAACUACGUGCCAGCAGCCGCGGUAAUACUUAGGAUGCAACGUUAUCGGAAUUAUGGGCUUAAGCGUGCGCAG